Long non-coding RNA from Gopherus evgoodei (Goodes thornscrub tortoise), 1994 nucleotides. RefSeq lists it as uncharacterized. The record is from RefSeq and is a predicted model, not a curated record. NCBI's taxonomy places the organism in Eukaryota, Metazoa, Chordata, Testudines, Testudinidae. The transcript is spliced from 3 exons.
AAACCGAGGCAGGCAUUGAUGUGACUUGCCCAAGACCACACACAGCAAGUCAGUGUGGCAGGGCUGGGAUAAGAGCACACUUCCUAUCUCCCAGCCUGAGGGUCAUUCCAGUGCACCACAAUGACUUUCAUAGUAAAAUGAUGGACUCCGUGGGGGCUAUGCAUAGUCAGAAUUCUGGAAAGCCAGCUGUAAACAAUGAAACCUAACGGUGCAGUCCUCAACCCAGCUGCUGUACUCAUAGGUCCUGAUCCUGCAGGUGCAAGAACAAACCGUGCUAAAAGGGAGACUAACUCGUUCAUGGAAUUGUUGAAUUUAAGACCAGAUCAUCUAGUUUGACCUCUUCUGUCACAGGCCACCACACCAUCCAGCCACCCACACACUAAACCCGCCAACUGAAAUUAGACCAAAGUAUUUACAAUGCUUGGAAGACUAAGGUGUUGUGUGAAUUAACUUACCUGAGAGGGGAAACUGAAUCUGACUAACACAGGUUAUGUCUAUGCUUCAAGCUGAGGAUGUGAUUCCUGGCUCAAGUAGACACACCCAUGCUAGCUCUGAUCAAGCUAGCACACUAAAAAUAGAACGUAGCUGCAGUGGUUCAAGCUACAGGAGGAGUGAGCUGAUUGAGUAUAGCUAAGACAGGGACAUACUCUGGUGGCUAGCCCCUCCCAUUGAGAGACUGCCAUCAUGAGAAAUCAGGAAGACAGGGCAGGGGAAAAGGUGAACAAAGAGUGGAUGGGUGGAACAAAGGCAGGGACCAGUGUCACUGAGGACUGGGGAAGGAUCUGAGAAACAGCUUGGCUUGAGGCUUGGUGAGAGAAGGGAAUGUCUGCAGGGAGACAGGGACUAACGUGAGGCAGUUGGGGAACCUGGAGUUAGAGAAGAAACUGAGGAGUGAACUGGAGGUAGACAGUGGAGCAGGGGAAGGAGUAAGAUGGGGUAGAGUGGGGAAGAAAUAAGAGUCUGGGAUCAGGAGAGACGAGCUGAGGGAUGGAGAAGUAGGAUGAGGCAGGGAAUUGGGAAGCUUGCAUGGGUAGUAAAUUGUCUGGAAUGGUGUGUGGAGAGAAUGAUUUGUAGGGAGAGAAUGGACUGUGGGAGAACUGAAUUUGUGUGCUGGUGAAGUGAUGGAGUGUAGGGUUGGCAUGGGUUUGUUUUCUGGAUACUGUGGUGUUGCAAGCUGGAUUGUGAUUGCAGUUGGGAGAGUAGCUGGUCCUGCAAGGUGGUUCAGUGAUGAGCAAGAAAAUAGAGUCAUGUAAAAACAUGCACUUGGAGAGAUAUUGAAAAGACUGGAACUAAAUGGUGGUCAACACAAUGGAAAAGUUUGGAGCCCCUGCUCUAACGAGUCUUUCAUAUUACCUCUCCUACCUAUAUGUGUUUACUGUUACCCGAUGUUUCCUGGUAGGAGCAAUAUAAACAGGAAUCCAUUUGCACUGUACAACCAAGACUUUAUUGGUCCUACUAACUUAUGAACAUAACAGUUGAUUGUGCUAUACUUACCUCGCUACUGUCUACAUACAGUCACAUAUCUCUACAUCUCUCUCUGUCUCUCGGGUAUACAACUCUUGUAAAGGCUCCCAAACUGUGAUCCGUAGAUAACUGUGCAUUCUAAUGUGCAGUGGAGCUCAGGGUGCAGCCAGAAGCAUUCAAGAUUACUCAAAACUGGUCUUUGGUGUAGCUCUACAAGCUCCAUUGUGAGUCAGACUGUAGCUCUGUACUGGGGCUCAUCAUGGAAGCUGGUCUCUGAGUUCUUCAUUAAGGGAUCGGUUCUGCAAAUUGCUGAGUGCCAUUAGUUCCCAUGGACUUCAGUGCGAGUUGAUGACACUCAGCACUCUGCAGGAGCAAGACCAAAGGGCCUAGCCCUGCCAGGUGCUAAAUGCCUCUUGUAGGUUGCCUAGUGCCCUCAAUUUCCUUGGGAACAGAAGACAUAUAGACUCAUAGACUUUAAGGCCUGAAGGAACCAUCAUGAUUAUCUAGUCUGACCUCCUGCACAUUGUAAA